ACACAUGCAGUCGAGCGGUAACAGGAAGAAGCUUGCUUUCUUUGCUGACGAGCGGCGGACGGGUGAGUAAUGCCUGGGAAAUUGCCCUGAUGUGGGGGAUAACCAUUGGAAACGAUGGCUAAUACCGCAUGAUGCCCUUGUUUAUAAUGAACAGGGACCAAAGAGGGGGACCUUCGGGCCUCUCGCGUCAGGAUAUGCCCAGGUGGGAUUAGCUAGUUGGUGAGGUAAUGGCUCACCAAGGCGACGAUCCCUAGCUGGUCUGAGAGGAUGAUCAGCCACACUGGAACUGAGACACGGUCCAGACUCCUACGGGAGGCAGCAGUGGGGAAUAUUGCACAAUGGGCGCAAGCCUGAUGCAGCCAUGCCGCGUGUAUGAAGAAGGCCUUCGGGUUGUAAAGUACUUUCAGUCGUGAGGAAGGGGGUAUCGUUAAUAGCGGUAUUCUUUGACGUUAGCGACAGAAGAAGCACCGGCUAACUCCGUGCCUGCAGCCGCGGUAAUACGGAGGGUGCGAGCGUUAAUCGGAAUUACUGGGCGUAAAGCGCAUGCAGGUGGUUUGUUAAGUCAGAUGUGAAAGCCCGGGGCUCAACCUCGGAGUUGCAUUUGAAACUGGCAGGCUAGAGUACUGUAGAGGGGGGUAGAAUUUCAUGUGUAGCGGUGAAAUGC
Molecule: ribosomal RNA, 664 nt
Filed under: uncultured bacterium
Lineage: Bacteria
Description: bacterial SSU rRNA
Rfam family: Bacterial small subunit ribosomal RNA
Source: RNAcentral